This 330-nucleotide ribosomal RNA is filed under the name Triticum aestivum (bread wheat). RNAcentral describes it as "partial small subunit ribosomal RNA". Lineage: Eukaryota; Viridiplantae; Streptophyta; Magnoliopsida; Poales; Poaceae. The record is from RNAcentral.
AUGAUCCACUCCAAGAGUGAACAUGGGGAUUUUCCUUAUCAUCGAUUAUUGCAAAAAUGGUUGCUAACCUCUAUAGCAUAUAUAUGUGGACAUCAACAACCUGUAAUUAUUGUUUGUGCAUAUAUUAGAUAUGCUCAGAGAUCAACAUUGCCUCGUGAUGAUUCACCCGAUUCCCAUGACAAAGAACUUGACUGCAUUUUGAUUGCCAUGCAGGUUGGGACCAGCCAUACUGUUCUCGUGCACGCUGCUGCUGGUGGAGUUGGGUCACCACUUUGUCAAUGGGCGAAUGCCCUUGGUGCCACUGUCAUUGGAACUGUUUCCAAUGAAUAG